CGGGGAGUGGCGCAGUUUGGUAGCGCGCUAUGUUCGGGACGUAGAGGCCCCGGGUUCAAAUCCCGGCUCCCCGACCA
This 77-nucleotide transfer RNA is filed under the name SAR202 cluster bacterium. RNAcentral describes it as "tRNA-Pro". It matches the Rfam family "tRNA". Rfam says of the family: Transfer RNA (tRNA) molecules are approximately 80 nucleotides in length. Lineage: Bacteria; Bacillati; Chloroflexota; Dehalococcoidia. The record is from RNAcentral.